AUGGAGUGUGUUGCACAAUACCGAAAGUGGCUGUUAGAUAACAGAGACAAGUUAGAGAAGGAAAAAUACAAGAAGUGCCUGAAGCAGCUUGUACCCAUGGUGAAACUUACUUUGGUUUAUGAUAAGGAGCCUGAGAAUUUGUCCAAGAUAAUGAAACUCAUGUACAAGGUCGGAGAAUAUGGUCCACCUCCCAGUGGUGUCAUUCAUGCUAUAUCUCCUCGUCUUUAUCAGAGUACCAUGGAGCAACUCGCCGCUGCUGGAGCAGUAGACGUUUUGCACAAUAAGGUGCCGCAAGUCAUCAAAGCACAGACAGAGGGACUCCAUGAGGGCUGCUCUGCCCAGAGGUGGGCCGGACAGGUCUCAACGAAGUUCAUGCGGCUGCUGGACCCAGAGGUGGGUUCUGGUGCCGCAGCUGGAGGCGAUCUGGACAGGAGGCUGGAUGAGGACGCGAUAGACAAUUUGCUGAACAUGGAGGGCAUGCAGGUCUACUGGGAUGGUCGAGCUGCUGCAGAAAUAUGA
RNAcentral lists this ribosomal RNA (519 nucleotides) under Triticum aestivum (bread wheat). Its description in RNAcentral is "partial small subunit ribosomal RNA". The record is from RNAcentral. Lineage: Eukaryota; Viridiplantae; Streptophyta; Magnoliopsida; Poales; Poaceae.